GGUUGCGAUCAUACCAGCACUAAUGCACCGGAUCCCAUCAGAACUCCUCAGUUAAGCGUGCUUGGGCGAGAGUAGUACUAGGAUGGGUGACCCCUUGGGAAGUCCUCGUGUUGCAACCC
RNAcentral lists this ribosomal RNA (119 nucleotides) under Helianthus annuus (common sunflower). Lineage: Eukaryota; Viridiplantae; Streptophyta; Magnoliopsida; Asterales; Asteraceae. The record is from RNAcentral.